RNAcentral lists this small nuclear RNA (70 nucleotides) under Erinaceus europaeus (western European hedgehog). Lineage: Eukaryota; Metazoa; Chordata; Mammalia; Eulipotyphla; Erinaceidae. The record is from RNAcentral.
GUGCUCAUUUUGGCAGCACAUAUACUAAAGUUGGAACGAUACAGAGAAGAUUAGUAUGGCCCCUGUGCAA